UCCCUGGCAGUCUAGUGGUUGAGACUCUGAGCUUCCAAAACAGGGACACAGGUUCAAUUCCUAGUCAGGGAA
Ovis aries (sheep) is the source of this 72-nucleotide transfer RNA. It matches the Rfam family "tRNA". Rfam says of the family: Transfer RNA (tRNA) molecules are approximately 80 nucleotides in length. Their secondary structure includes four short double-helical elements and three loops (D, anti-codon, and T loops). NCBI's taxonomy places the organism in Eukaryota, Metazoa, Chordata, Mammalia, Artiodactyla, Bovidae. The record is from Rfam.